GAUGAACGCUAGCGGGAGGCCUAACACAUGCAAGCCGAGCGGUAUUUGUUCUUCGGAACAGAGAGAGCGGCGCACGGGUGCGGAACACGUGUGCAACCUGCCUUUAUCUGGGGGAUAGCCUUUCGAAAGGAAGAUUAAUACCCCAUAAUAUAUUGAGUGGCAUCACUUGAUAUUGAAAACUCCGGUGGAUAGAGAUGGGCACGCGCAAGAUUAGAUAGUUGGUGAGGUAACGGCUCACCAAGUCAAUGAUCUUUAGGGGGCCUGAGAGGGUGAUCCCCCACACUGGUACUGAGACACGGACCAGACUCCUACGGGAGGCAGCAGUGAGGAAUAUUGGACAAUGGGUUAGCGCCUGAUCCAGCCUUCCCGCGUGAAGGACGACGGCCCUAUGGGUUGUAAACUUCUUUUGUAUAGGGAUAAACCUACUCUCGUGAGAGUAGCUGAAGGUACUAUACGAAUAAGCACCGGCUAACUCCGUG
Molecule: ribosomal RNA, 479 nt
Filed under: uncultured bacterium
Lineage: Bacteria
Description: partial 16S ribosomal RNA
Rfam family: Bacterial small subunit ribosomal RNA
Source: RNAcentral